Molecule: non-coding RNA, 398 nt
Organism: Cinara cedri
Lineage: Eukaryota; Metazoa; Arthropoda; Insecta; Hemiptera; Aphididae
Source: the annotation of a GenBank genome assembly
GAUUUGAAAAUAUUUCUCUCAUCAGAUCGUAUAUAUCCGUAUUAUUAUUGGACGUUGUCGGCAUUUCGGUGGGGAAAAUCGAUUUUCCGACUUGAUGUCGGCAUUGUAUGAAUAUCGGAGAACACAGGCAAAAGCCUACGGAUUUUAGCUCAUUAUGUCGGUCAGCCGUUUCGACGGUAUAACGUGGUUUUUUUGUUUAACAAGAGUUUUUAUCGAAGUUUUGAGAGUUUUACGUUCGAAAAUUACGCGUGUAUUUUAUUAUUAAGAAUUAUUGUUAUUAUUCUGCAGUGUAUACUCACGACACGUUACAAUAAAGUAUAUACAUAGUUUCGCAAUUUUUCGAAAUUUGGUAACGCGGUUAGCGGUAUAAUCGGGUCAAACGUUUUAAUCAUUUACUA